RNAcentral lists this ribosomal RNA (704 nucleotides) under uncultured bacterium. RNAcentral describes it as "bacterial SSU rRNA". It matches the Rfam family "Bacterial small subunit ribosomal RNA", at positions 56 to 755 of the family's 1533-position model. The record is from RNAcentral.
UGCAAGUCGAACGGCAGCACGGACUUCGGUCUGGUGGCGAGUGGCGAACGGGUGAGUAAUGUAUCGGAACGUGCCUAGUAGCGGGGGAUAACUACGCGAAAGCGUAGCUAAUACCGCAUACGCCCUACGGGGGAAAGCAGGGGAUCGCAAGACCUUGCACUAUUAGAGCGGCCGAUAUCGGAUUAGCUAGUUGGUGGGGUAACGGCUCACCAAGGCGACGAUCCGUAGCUGGUUUGAGAGGACGACCAGCCACACUGGGACUGAGACACGGCCCAGACUCCUACGGGAGGCAGCAGUGGGGAAUUUUGGACAAUGGGGGAAACCCUGAUCCAGCCAUCCCGCGUGUGCGAUGAAGGCCUUCGGGUUGUAAAGCACUUUUGGCAGGAAAGAAACGUCAUGGGUUAAUACCCCGUGAAACUGACGGUACCUGCAGAAUAAGCACCGGCUAACUACGUGCCAGCAGCCGCGGUAAUACGUAGGGUGCAAGCGUUAAUCGGAAUUACUGGGCGUAAAGCGUGCGCAGGCGGUUCGGAAAGAAAGAUGUGAAAUCCCAGAGCUUAACUUUGGAACUGCAUUUUUAACUACCGGGCUAGAGUGUGUCAGAGGGAGGUGGAAUUCCGCGUGUAGCAGUGAAAUGCGUAGAUAUGCGGAGGAACACCGAUGGCGAAGGCAGCCUCCUGGGAUAACACUGACGCUCAUGCACG